Small nucleolar RNA from Mastomys coucha (southern multimammate mouse), 117 nucleotides. RefSeq annotates it as small nucleolar RNA SNORA26. The record is from RefSeq and is a predicted model, not a curated record. Lineage: Eukaryota; Metazoa; Chordata; Mammalia; Rodentia; Muridae. The transcript has a single exon.
GUGCCCUUUUAAGGUUGUCUCGGUACUUUAAGAGGCUAACACAGAAGGGUAAAGGGACUUCAUCAAACCCAGAGAAACUUCAGUGGUUAAAGAGUAAAUCGAUAUGAAGUUCCAGAG